GUUAGUGUAUGCAGUGUAUGUGUGUGUUAUUGUAUGCAGUGUGUGUUGUUAGUGUAUGCAGUGUAUGUGUGUGUUGUAUGCAGUGUGUGUGUGUUAGUGUAUGCAGUGUGUGUGUGUGUUAUUGUAUGCAGUGUGUGUGUUAGUGUAUGCAGUGUAUGUAUGCAGUGUGUGUUGUUAGUGUAUGCAGUGUAUGUGUGUGUUAGUGUAUGCAGUGUAUGUGUGUGUUAGUGUAUGCAGUGUGUGUGUGUUAGUGUAUGCAGUGUAUGUGUGUGUUAUUGUAUGCAGUGUAUGUGUGUGUUAGUGUAUGCAGUGUAUGUGUGUGUUAGUGUAUGCAGUGUGUGUGUGUUAUGUAUGCAGUGUGUGUGUGUGU
Non-coding RNA from Pelobates cultripes (western spadefoot toad), 370 nucleotides. NCBI's taxonomy places the organism in Eukaryota, Metazoa, Chordata, Amphibia, Anura, Pelobatidae. The record is from the annotation of a GenBank genome assembly.